CAUUAAGAAGCUAAAUAUGGACAAGCAUUAGCCUUUUAAGCUAAAAGCAGGUGGCCACCACCCACCCUUAGUGA
RNAcentral lists this transfer RNA (74 nucleotides) under Champsodon cf. snyderi CBM-ZF 10876. RNAcentral's name for it is "tRNA-Lys". It matches the Rfam family "tRNA". Rfam says of the family: Transfer RNA (tRNA) molecules are approximately 80 nucleotides in length. The record is from RNAcentral. Lineage: Eukaryota; Metazoa; Chordata; Actinopteri; Acropomatiformes; Champsodontidae.